UACGUAGGGGUCGAGCGUUGUCCGGAUUUAUUGGGCGUAAAGGGCGCGUAGGCGGCUACCCAAGUCGGUCGUGAAAUCUCCUGGCUCAACUGGGAGGGGACGGGCGAAACGGGGUGGCUGGAGCACGGUAGGGGCGAGCGGAAUUCCCGGUGUAGUGGUGGAAUGCGUAGAGAUCGGGAGGAACACCCGUGGCGAAGGCGGCUUGCUGGACCGGAUGCUGACGCUGAGGCGCGAAAGCGUGGGGAGCGAUCCGG
This 254-nucleotide ribosomal RNA is filed under the name uncultured bacterium. RNAcentral's name for it is "partial 16S ribosomal RNA". It matches the Rfam family "Bacterial small subunit ribosomal RNA", at positions 524 to 776 of the family's 1533-position model. The record is from RNAcentral.